Molecule: ribosomal RNA, 479 nt
Filed under: uncultured bacterium
Lineage: Bacteria
Description: bacterial SSU rRNA
Rfam family: Bacterial small subunit ribosomal RNA
Source: RNAcentral
GGACGAACGCUGGCGGCGUGCCUAACACAGUGCAAGUCGAACGGACGAGGGGAGGCUGCUCCCCAAGUUAGUGGCGGACGGGUGAGUAACACGUGAGCAACCUGCCCUUCGAGGGGGACAACAGUGGGAAACUGCUGCUAAUACCGCAUAACGUAUCCUGGAGGCAUCUCCGGGAUACCAAAGAUUUUAUCGCCGAAGGAUGGGCUCGCGUCUGAUUAGAUAGUUGGUGGGGCAACGGCCCACCCAAGUCUGCGAUCAGUAGCCGGACUGAGAGGUUGAACGGCCACAUUGGGACUGAGAUACGGCCCAGACUCCUACGGGAGGCAGCAGUGGGGAAUAUUGGGCAAUGGGGGCAAACCCCCUGACCCAGCAACGCCGCGUGGAGGAAGAAGGCUUUCGGGUUGUAAACUCCUUUGACGAGGGACGAUGAUGACGGUACCUCGAAAACAAGCCACGGCUAACUACGUGCCAGCCGCUGC